Molecule: ribosomal RNA, 484 nt
Filed under: uncultured bacterium
Lineage: Bacteria
Description: partial 16S ribosomal RNA
Rfam family: Bacterial small subunit ribosomal RNA
Source: RNAcentral
AGUGAACGCUGGCGGCGUGCUUAACACAUGCAAGUCGAACGAGAACGGAUUAUAGCUUGCUAUAAUUGUCAGCUAAGUGGCGCACGGGUGAGUAAUGUAUAGGUAAUAUGCCUCUUACUAAGGGAUAACAAAUGGAAACGUUUGCUAAUACCUUAUACUCCUUAUUAACAUAAGUUAAUAAGGGAAAGAUUUAUUGGUAAGAGAUUAGCCUGUAUUGUAUCAGUUAGUUGGUGGGGUAAUGGCUUACCAAGACUAUGACACAUAACUGGUUUGGGAGGAUGAUCAGUCACACUGGAACUGAGACACAGUCCAGACUCCUACGGGAGGCAGCAGUGGGGAAUAUUGCACAAUGGACGAAAGUCUGAUGCAGCAACGCCGCGUGGAGGAUGACACAUUUCGGUGCGUAAACUCCUUUUAUAUGAGAAGAUAAUGACGGUAUUAUAUGAAUAAGCACCGGCUAACUCCGUGCCAGCAGCCGCGGUAA